GAAACCUGGUUGAUCCUGCCAGUAGUCAUACGCUCGUCUCAAAGAUUAAGCCAUGCAUGUCUAAGUAUAAACAAUUUUUACUGUGAAACUGCGAAUGGCUCAUUAUAUCAGUUAUAGUCUACUUGAUAGUACCUUACUACACGGAUAACCGUAGUAAUUCUAGAGCUAAUACGUGCUUAACGGUCAACUGCUUG
Molecule: ribosomal RNA, 194 nt
Filed under: uncultured eukaryote
Lineage: Eukaryota
Description: partial 18S ribosomal RNA
Rfam family: Eukaryotic small subunit ribosomal RNA
Source: RNAcentral